AUUGAACGCUGGCGGAAUGCUUUACACAUGCAAGUCGAGCGGCAGCGCGGGGCAACCUGGCGGCGAGCGGCGAACGGGUGAGUAAUACAUCGGAACAUGUCCAUUUGUGGGGGAUAGCCC
RNAcentral lists this ribosomal RNA (120 nucleotides) under uncultured bacterium. RNAcentral describes it as "partial 16S ribosomal RNA". It matches the Rfam family "Bacterial small subunit ribosomal RNA", at positions 30 to 149 of the family's 1533-position model. The record is from RNAcentral.